ACUAUCUAAAAAAAAAAAUAAAUGUUUUUUUUUUUUUUUUUUUUUUUUUUUUUUACAAAAAAAUUGCUCAGCAAGCUACUAAACUCCAUAAGCUAUAGAAAUCGCAAACUAUUUUGUUUGCUAACAUCAGACUGUUAGCUAGCUAUGUGGAUAGCUGGGUGGUUAGAGUUAGCUAGAAACUUUCUUUAAAACUAAUGCGUUUGUUCCUUGUUCAGGUGUGAAACUAAAAAUUACUCACACAGCUAACUAGCUGCAGUACAUCAAGCAAAAACUGCUAAUGCUAGUUUCUUACUGAGCUAGAGAGUUAGCUUGCUAGUUAGUGUUAGUUACAGUAGAACUUUUCUUCAUAAUAAUCAGUAGUGGUGUUAAACUAAAAAAAUAAAUAAAAUAAAUAAAUAAAUAAAAAGGUACAGGUAUAUAAACCAUACACUCUUUGAUUGCUAACAUUAGUCUGUUAGCUAGCUAGGUUGCUCACUGGCUAAUUAAUGCUAGUUAAAAAACAUAUUGGAUAGCUAGCUAGCUAGUGGUAUAAAUAUUGUAUUGGAGAAAUGUGAGGGUACAAGUGUGUCAGUUAUUAAACAGUAUACUUCCUCUGAGGUUUUUUUUAAAAAAAAGCCCCACCCACUUAUUGUUAACCAAUCAAUUUCAUUCUGUCCCUAAGGCAGCGCGGCCUGCGGAACGCUACUGAUUGGUGCAUGAGUUUGCACAACAAGGCUCAAUUAGCAUGAGUCAUUAGCAGCAAAAACAAACAGCCUACAGGGCUUACUAGCUGAAACACACACACACACACACACAGUUAUCUAAUCCGCAGAUCUCUCAGCAUGCUGUUCACACAAAGAGACACCAGAGAUGUGAGAGAGUGAGACAGUGAGAGAGAGACAUGUCCUCUCUGUCCUUGGCAGCAGACGGAGAUUUCUGCGCUGGUUUACUUCCAAACCAUCGACCUGGAAAACCCCUAAAUCUGGGCCAAGCUUCCUACUGAGCCACUGUUAAAUCACUUUCCUCACUUUUGUCAUGGAGUUCCUCUUACUAGCAGAAAUGCAUCCAAAUACAUAUGAAAAUGUGGCGUCCAUGAAAAUCCAGUUGGUUGGAAAAAACGUUCGCAUCAGACGUUCCGCUUCGGAGUUUGCGUGAACGUCAGUAUGAGGAAGAAACUCGAUUCAAAUCGUAUCAUUUUGAAAGACUUGCUGCUUUGUGGAUCGAUACGGAUUACCCUGUCAAGUCUAAAUCCCUUCUUUAUUUCAGAGUUAAGACAAAUAAGACUCGCUGUUCAAUUAGGAUGAAAGUAAUGGCGCCCUGUCAAAUGACUUAGUGUGUCUCUAUGGUAGCUUACACGCUGCAAUAGCUGAGCUGUAUUAUUAUUAUUAUUAUUAUUAUUAUUAUUAUUAUUAUAUUUAGCACACGCCAUGCUUAGGAGUGGCUCUUUCACCGUUUAGCCGCCAUUUUGUCGUUUUCAAUAUCUCCUUGCCUUUUAUGAAGUUUUGUAGGCGUGGCUAAAUGUAAAUCACCCCUGGUAAAUUAUGCCUGAUUUGCAUUUAAUAACAUACACACGUGAGCAAAACUUUUGUAAAUCCGGUGAGAAUUUGGAGUUCAAAGGCGGGGGGGGGACCCCGUGGAUGGCUCUGUGUUCGUCUUUGGUUUUCGAACUUUUUGAACUAGCAGUGAUGAGUGACGUAUAUUUUCCUCAGAACAGUGAACUGUAGAGUCAGUGUUAUAGAUUUAACAAGCGAAUAUGUCUGAAGACUGACUGUUGUCGAUUGUCACUCAGGACUUCCAAGUUAUGGGAUGUUUUCCUAGAUUUAUUUGAUUUUUUUUAGUCGGAGUGCAGCACCACACACAAAUUUACUAAAUGAGGCCCAGUGAGUGUUUCCUGUAGUAGUCACGUUUCAUAUAAAAUAAUAAACAAAACUCAAAAGUUCUAUUAAUUCUCACCAGAAAAGAAAAUACAUUUGGCAGCUGGCCCUGAGACCCUGUGUGGUGUGUGUGGUGUGUGUGCUGGACAUAUGGUUGUCCAUAUGAGUGAUGUGUGCUGUAACGUGAGCCGUGUUCACGCGCCGUCGUCAGUCGGGUGAUAAAGAGGCCAGGCAUGAGAGUGAUGGAUAAACACCACCUCAGUGCCAUGGUGACUCAACUGCCAGGAAACACACACCUCAACCUCCAGUCCUGCUCUUACACUCUCUCUGUCUCACACACAUGUAUGAUUUUGAGAGUACGUUUCCAUCUAAAUGCUUCACACUUGGACAGGACGAUCAGCAGCUCAUCUUCCCUCUGCGUUUUUAUCCACUUUUACACACACACACACACACACACACACACACACACACACACACACACACACUCACACAGUUACUGGCUGCUUCCCAAACACUUACUACAGGAUGAAAUAGCGGCCUCUCGGAAUAGUGUGCUAUCUCUGGUGUCUUUUAUUUAGCAAAGCGUUUCGCAUUCGCAAUGACUCUUUCCCAGUUACUACGAUAGCCGCCUGCUGCUUGUGGCUACGUCCCAAAUCGCAUACUGAUUACAUAGUAAACUAUACAUUUAUAAAUACUUCAUCAAAGUGUGUGUGGGUGUGUGUGUGUUCGUUUCGUGUCAACAGGCAACAAAAAGACUUUUAAAAAGUUACUGUUUAGGUAAAAACCCAAAUCCUUUUAUGCUAAUCCGCAAACUACUUCUACUUUAAUUAGCCCAUAAACCCACUGCUCACUCCCAGCUGAACCCGUCGUUAAGGUAACCAAUCCGAUUUAUCUUUAGUUUAUGCUAAUUAAGCUGACUCCUCCCUUCAUGAUCAUUAAUCAUAUUUUUUCAAUGUUAAUACUAAUGAAUCAAAUUACUUCCAUAUGCUUUGUGCUAAUUAACAUACUAAUUCCGAGUUCCGGACUCCUCCCCUUUCACACUAAUUACCCAGACACACAUCUAAUUAAAGCUAAUUAAUCAGAAUCAUCUCAGCUAGAGUGACUCGUUAUGCUGAUCAGAUUCAAACAUCACGUCUACUGUGACACAUUUGCUAAUUAAACCUACUCAUAUGAAAGACACGCCCUAUUUAUUAAACAAAUUUGGCAAAUCUUCAUUUCUCUAUGCAAAUUAAUCAGCUGAUGGUGAUUUCUCAGAUUCCUCCCCUUUAACGGUGAACACUGCCUCUACAUAAAUAUGAAUGAAAUAUAGUCUUCUUACUUCUUUAUUUUUUUUUAAUCAAAUUCCUCUACUGUUAUACGAAUUAAUCAGAUUUCUUUCCUGUUCAUGUUAAUUAAUCCAGCGCAUAAUUAUGCAGGUGAUAUGCGAACCCUCCCCCACCACCUCUGCUUCAAUGCUAAUUACAUACACUCCAUCCAUGGUUGUGGUUAUGAAGUAGACUCUCUCCCUAUGUAUGCUGCCUAAUGUGACUCCAUAAAUUAAAUAUGGAUAAAUGAACAUAAAUCAUUAAAAAUAUCUCUCAUGUUUAUGCUAAUGAUCUAUACUAGGUAAGGAAACAGUAAUCCUCAUUCUGGAUGAGACAGAUGCACUAGCGUCUCUCAGUAGUGUUAAAACACAGUUAGCCGUCUCUCAGUGUUGCAUAAAUCAUCUAAACAGUGGGAAACAUUCACAUUCAGAACUCAUCGGCUCCUAAAGGGAAUUAACCACUUUUAAAACUGCACCCAUUAUGGCUCAGAUUUCAGAAUGAAAAGCUCAGCGAGAACGGGUAAAGUGCUGUUAGCGUGCAGUUAACGGCCGUAAGCUUCAGCUCCAUCUCACCUUAUAAAUAUUUACUCCAUAAAACCACAACAUUUAAACAAAGAGCCCAGAAUGACACUUCAUACAGCGCUGAGCUCAUAAAUGCAGAGCUAACACAGUUCAUGCUCUCCAUGUGAUCUGCAGACUCUCCAUCUGAUCUGAGUCAGAUUAUUAGCAGAUUAUUUUAUUGUGCUUAUGAUAUUAUUACAAUAUUGCACUACACAGAACUCCAUGUUCACCUCUAGCCGUUCUCUUGAGUGUUAUUGUGCAGACCGCAGACUGGUGGGCGUGUCAGAGUGGGAUAAACUGCUGUGUCAUUUAUUAAAAUUUUUCUGAGUAGGCACCCAGUGCUACUAACCACAGAGAGUAUCAUCGCUGAGAGUAAAAUCACUGACAAUAGCACCAUUAACAGUAAUAUCGGUGACAUGGUGACACCACUGACAGUAAUAUCGGUGACAUGGUGACACCACUGACAGUAAUAUCGGUGACAUGGUGACACCACUGACAGUAAUAUCGGUGAGAGUGACACCACUGACAGUAAUAUCGGUGACACGGACACCACUGACAGUAAUAUCGGUGAGAGUGACACCACUGACAGUGAUAUCGGUGACAGUGACACCACUGACAGUGAUAUCGGUGACCGUGGCAGCCACUGACAGUGAUAUCGGUGACCGUGACACCACUGACAGUGAUAUCGGUGACCGUGGCACCACUGACAUGAUUAUCGGUGACAUGGUGACACCACUGACAGUAAUAUCGGUGACACGGACACCACUGACAGUAAUAUCGUCGUGAGAGUGACACCACUGACAGUAAUAUCGGUGACACGGACACCACUGACAGUAAUAUCGGUGACACGGACACCACUGACAGUGAUAUCGGUGACAUGGUGACACCACUGACAGUAAUAUCGGUGAUACGGACACCACUUACAGUGAUAUCGGUGAGAGUGACACCACUGACAGUAAUAUCGGUGACACGGACACCACUGACAGUAAUAUCGGUGAGAGUGACACCACUGACAGUGAUAUCGGUGACAUGGUGACACCACUGACAGUAAUAUCGGUGACACGGACACCACUGACAGUAAUAUCGGUGAGAGUGACACCACUGACAGUGAUAUCGGUGACAUGGUGACACCACUGACAGUAAUAUCGGUGACACGGACACCACUGACAGUAAUAUCGGUGACCGUGACACCACUGACAGUGAUAUCGGUGACCGUGACACCACUGACAGUAAUAUCGGUGACAUGGACACCACUGACAGUAAUAUCGGUGACACGGACACCACUGACAGUGAUAUCGGUGACAAUGACACCACUAUUUAUUUAUUUAUUCCAUAAUGGUGUACAGUACUCAUAUACUUGAUUUUGUCAUAAAAGGCACUGGCUGCAUUUGCCACCGCAGUUAUAGGACAAGUUGUGUAGACUGUAAGACUGGAGUCCAAACAAGAAGACAGAAAAUAACGGGUUUUACUCCGACACUCAGUCAUUAUAGCAGAAACAUGGCGGCGUGGUGGCGUCUGAAACGAUCUGCUCUCUACACUGCGUUUUCCAGCGGACUUUUAGCCGUGCAAUUAUCAGCUGACUGUGUUUUCCUGAAACGUCCACACAAACGUUUCCUCCAGCUCCACAUCGGCUCAGGUUUCAUAUGAGGGGAAACUAUGAGACAUUCCCUCCCCUUACCCUACACACACUCACACACACACACACACACACACACAGCAACGUCAACACCUGCACAGCUAAACUGUUCCCCAGUGUAUCAUGUGGAGUUACACCAGUGUCCAAAAAUGCUCUGUAACUUCCAUACACACUGUAGCCGACAAUCACCUGACCUUAUGUUUAGCCAUUUGUUAGAUGUUGCGCUUGGUUUAAUCAUUGGUAUUUGCUGUAAGUUGCUAGUUUGGGUUAAUUAAUACUUGGACUAGGACUCAGACUUCAGCAAUCCAUGAAUUGUGAUUGGUUGUGGCUUAUAAAGUGUUAUGACAGGCGGGUGAUCAGUGCACCAGGGACUUGCUAGAAUAUAACCCAAAUGUUAGCUAAUUCACAUGACUAGCCAUCUUUAUUUGGUUUAGCUAUUAGCAUUUGCAAACUAACAUUUGAAUUCACAAACAUUUGGUUCAGCUAGCAUUUAAACACAAUAAUCCUUCCAGUGCAAUUCAAAAUCAAUCUGAAAAACAAAGCACUCAAAUGCCAGGAGCACUGAUCCCUCACCAGUCAAACACUGAGCCUGAGUCCUCGUGACAUUAGUUCAACAUGUUAACUAGCGCACUGAGGAUAGCUAGCAUAUAGGUCUGUUAAUCAUGAUUAAUCAUUAAUACUUGGCACUUGCUAUCAGUUGCCAGCAGUUAUGUUCUAACAUUUAGGUUAUUUGUUAGCAAAGUGUCAGUGAAUGACAUUUCAGAGUAAUCAGUUAGAUGCUAGCAUUUUCAAAUUAUUAAUUAACUUCAGAUUUAACCUUUUACGAUGAUCUGUUUAGCAUGUGUAUUAGCCAGAGAUGAGCUAUAAGUCGGAUGUCUUUUUAGUCCAGACAAGAUGAUCCGCUUCGUGGACUGAAAAAGUCCCAAAUUACCCCUUUUAGUAUCAUCCAAACCAAUUCAUCAGGAGAAACGACUGAAAAGACCAGCUGUUCUCUCUCUCUCUCUCUCUCUCUCUCUCUUUCUCUCCUACACACACACACACACACACACACACACACACACACACACACACACACACACAUCUGUGCUCCAUUCAUAAGUCUGUGCAUCUCCUUGAUGAACUUAAUGAUAGUCAACAGGACGUUGAACGUCAACAGGAAGAAUGUACAUCCUGUAUCACUCAUGAACACCAGCCCCUGGUCAUGACACCGGUUAAAAUGAUUGGCUACAUGAUACCGCUACCUCAAUAACCCCAUCCUCUACCUCAAAAAGCCCUCUCUAAUUCAAUAACCCCACUCUCUAAUUCAAUAACCCCA
Ictalurus punctatus (channel catfish) is the source of this 6668-nucleotide long non-coding RNA. The record is from Ensembl. NCBI's taxonomy places the organism in Eukaryota, Metazoa, Chordata, Actinopteri, Siluriformes, Ictaluridae.